GAUGAACGCUAGCGGCAGGCCUAACACAUGCAGGUCGAGGGGCAGCACAGAAACAGCAAUGUUUUGGUGGCGACCGGCGGACGGGUGCGUAACGCGUAUGCAACCUACCUUUAACAGGGGGAUAACGGAGAGAAAUUUCCACUAAUACCCCAUAACAUCGAUCAAGGCAUCUUGAUUGGUUGAAAACUCCGGUGGUUAAAGAUGGGCACGCGUUGUAUUAGGUAGUUGGUGAGGUAAUGGCUCACCAAGCCUACGAUACAUAGGGGGACUGAGAGGUUAGCCCCCCACACUGGUACUGAGACACUGACCAGACUCCUACGGGAGGCAGCAGUGAGGAAUAUUGGUCAAUGGGGGCAACCCUGAACCAGCCAUGCCGCGUGCAGGAAGACGGCUCUAUGAGUUGUAAACUGCUUUUAAACAGGGAUAAAGCACAGUAUGUAUACUGUGUUGAAGGUACUGUAAGAAUAAGGAUCGGCUAACUCCGUGCCAGCCGCCGCAGUAA
RNAcentral lists this ribosomal RNA (502 nucleotides) under uncultured bacterium. RNAcentral's name for it is "partial 16S ribosomal RNA". It matches the Rfam family "Bacterial small subunit ribosomal RNA", at positions 28 to 523 of the family's 1533-position model. The record is from RNAcentral.